Non-coding RNA from Desulfobacterales bacterium PC51MH44, 255 nucleotides. Lineage: Bacteria; Pseudomonadati; Thermodesulfobacteriota; Desulfobacteria; Desulfobacterales. The record is from Rfam.
CAAGUCCCAUCUAACUAAAGUUUAGCCAACAGGUUAGUAGUGAAGUCUGCGGGCAAAGCCAGAACGGGAGACCGGAAUGGAAGUCCGAAGCCAGAUGGAUCAAGGGUGCAGGCUCUGUAUUGAGCCCCGAAAAAUGUAUAGUUGUGGACAUUAGGAUAAAUAGGUGCUUGUAGUUUUGAGUGCCUGAGAAAGCCGACGCUUUGGAUUGAGCGGAAGGCAGCAGUCCUGAAAGCGCUAUGGCGAGUAUUCAGGACA